Rattus norvegicus (Norway rat) is the source of this 1324-nucleotide non-coding RNA. Lineage: Eukaryota; Metazoa; Chordata; Mammalia; Rodentia; Muridae. The record is from RefSeq and is a predicted model, not a curated record.
UGGCAAGUUUUAAUGAUCUGCCCCCGAUCAGCUACUACCUGGCUGGUGCCCACAACUCCUACAGCUGCGUCCGAUAAAUUAUAUCCGGGAACUGCCCAUGUCUCACCCAAGUCUCAGCAGGAUACCAUGACUUGUUUAACUUUGUACAAUUCCCGGAGCCUAAGUUCCAUUCUACGCUGACAGUUACAUAACUAUUUCUCCCCUACGCCUUCCCGGCGCCCUAGACGGGAAAGCUUAGCCUGCCCGGACAACUGUUGUAUGCGGCGAAAUGCUGCACGAGCCUUGUCGGCUUCCGUCUUCCGCUGUUUAAUUUCGACUCUGGAGUUCACAAAAUGGCCAUUCCUGUAACGCAGUCCGUGUUUCCGGAGAUUGUCAGCACAGUAAAUAUCCAUCCAAGCCUUCUUCCUCGUCAACGAAACAUGUCGUUUGCGGUACCCACACAUCAACAGGACUUCUAAGCCUGCCACGGUUGCCUUUCCUCCACAGAAGUGUGGAGCUGACUAGCUGUGGGGCAGGAGCAACCAAGCAGAUACCAAGACUCCAGGAAGACGAUGGGAUGGUUCCUUGAUCCUAGGCACUCUCCAGUUCACUGGGUUCUUGUUCACUUUGUAACACUGGAAACUGAUUACCACUGCACAGUGUGUGCUAUGACAGCAUCGGCAGUAUUACUGGUUAUUGUCUAAGUGGCACUGCACCCUCGGUGUGUUCUUCCAGCCACGGUAUUCAGGGUGCAGGACUGCACAGGCAAUUACAUGCAAAUUUGUUGGGAGCGAGGAGGUUCGUUUACUACAUUCAAGCCCAUAGAAGAUCAAUAGAAAUGCAGAAGCUAAUCCUGUAUGAAAGCCCCACGGUCAGGUAAUGGUUGCAGAGUUAAGGCCUGCAAAAGAAUGUUAGGAAUCAGAGAGGCGCGUGAGAGAAAAGCGUUAUGCCUAAGUGCUUUUUUGAACCAUAUGGGAAAGACAAGAGACAAAACGAACCAAAAGCAUUGGAACACAAGAAGGUAGACACGCAGUUCAACGCAAAUUGUUAGCGGGUUCUCAAAAGAUGUGAAUGGGGAUUGGACCAAUUAAAAAUGGCUGCCUGGAAAACCUUUUGUUGGCUAUUCGAAGAAUAGCAUUGUGCAGACUCUUAAAGUUUAAGUCCUACAAGCUACGCCUGCAUUUAGCUCCUGAGCAAAAGAACCCCUUCGUGCCUGUGUUCCCUUUCGGGUUUUGUGAUUUCUUAUUCUGGUGUUUUCUCCCAGGCAAGGCCAUGUGCCCUGUUGGCAUUUAAUAAAAGUUGAACACUUCACAAUGGAAAGCAUGAGAAAACUAUGCAAAGUUUA